This 74-nucleotide transfer RNA is filed under the name Marmota monax (woodchuck). Its description in RNAcentral is "tRNA.Leu". The record is from RNAcentral. Lineage: Eukaryota; Metazoa; Chordata; Mammalia; Rodentia; Sciuridae.
UUGGUGGUGAUUCAGUGGUAACUCACGUGCUUAGUAUGCACAAGGCCCUGGGUUCAAUCUCCAGCACCAUUAAA